UUGGCUUCACUGAUAAAAUGUAUUCAUAUUGAUAUAUGUUGUUGUUGAAUAAAAUACAUAGUGUUAUUUCUACAAUCUCUUUCAUUUAUUUUCUUUUUUUUUUUAAAUUCCAUUAAAUAAUGUCAUGUAUCUGUUUUUCAAACAUUGACAACAAAUUUAAAUUAGCAAGUAACUUAUUUUUUUACGACUGAAAUUGCUAUUAAUGAAAUUAUAAGACACACUCACCAGGUAUGUAAUUGUACCCUAAGUUUUAAUGUGGUAUCAUUUUAAAAAAUAUACUACUUUGUCCCUUAGUAUUAAAAUUCAUACAUGUGGUUUCAUAUUUAACUGAGACAACUCGUUAAUAUUGUUAAAUUGAAUAGCAAUUUCAUGAUUAUGUUCAUAAAAUCCUGUUGUUCGAAAAAAUUGAUUUUGUUUUAUCUACUUUAAAGAAAUGGACUUUUUUGCUAAGCCGUGAAAUACGCAAAGAAAUGAAAAUUAAAAAAAAAUAAACUCUAGGAGUACAUCAAUACUUUUAUUAUUCAUUUUUCAUUUUAAUACAUCUCAUCUGAGUGUGAUGCAGCACCGUCAGUACCAGAUUGACGUAAAGAACAUAGAAACUGAAACAUAACAUGGACAUAGAUCAUAGAAGUAAACUAAACACUGGUCAAUCUGAGUCGUAAAAAAACUGCAAAAAGUAGUGUCAAAUCCAACAAGUUUUACUUUGUCAACGAGAGACAGUUCAACUAGUUAAAAUUGACUGAAUUAAUAUGCAGAAAAAAAAGUUACCGAAAGUGUUCAAACUGAAAAAAAGAAAAAAACGUUUAAUUGAACAGAAGUGAACUUAGAAUUUUACAAUCAAUAACGUAUGGAUAGUAAACCCAUAACCUUUCAGUAGAUUGAGAUUUCAAUAUCAUGAAUAUUGCGUCCAGAUUCAUAAUAUGUAUUAAACAUGACAUUUCCUGACUUAUUGACGAGAUUGGAACAUCGGUUAACUAAUGUAGUCUUAAUUCAUCAUCAAAUGGUUAGAAUAUCUACGGACAGUGUGUUUCCUUGAUGAUUUACAAGCCCGGUCACUUAUGCACUUCAAAUAUUAGAAGAAGAACCGAUAAACGUCAUGGAUGAAAUUGAAUAAAUGAGGUGUAGUCAAGGUCACAACAAUUCCGAGAGAGAAAGAAAGAAUGCCCUA
This is a long non-coding RNA of Mytilus californianus (California mussel), 1168 nucleotides long. RefSeq lists it as uncharacterized. Lineage: Eukaryota; Metazoa; Mollusca; Bivalvia; Mytilida; Mytilidae. The record is from RefSeq and is a predicted model, not a curated record. The transcript is spliced from 2 exons.